This 106-nucleotide transfer RNA is filed under the name Thermoplasmata archaeon. Its description in RNAcentral is "tRNA-Arg". Lineage: Archaea; Methanobacteriati; Thermoplasmatota; Thermoplasmata. The record is from RNAcentral. RNAcentral also lists the same sequence under 1 other name.
GCCCGUGUGGGGUAGCUACGGGGAGGGGCCGUUCCCUUUCCUGCUACACUGGAUAUCCUAGAGGCCUGCGGAGUCUCAGACCUGGGUUCAAAUCCCAGCACGGGCG